AUGGAAGGGCCAUCGCUCAACGGAUAAAAGGUACUCCGGGGAUAACAGGCUGAUACCGCCCAAGAGUUCAUAUCGACGGCGGUGUUUGGCACCUCGAUGUCGGCUCAUCACAUCCUGGGGCUGAAGUAGGUCCCAAGGGUAUGGCUGUUCGCCAUUUAAAGUGGUACGCGAGCUGGGUUUAGAACGUCGUGAGACAGUUCGGUCCCUAUCUGCCGUGGGCGCUGGAGAACUGAGGGGGGCUGCUCCUAGUACGAGAGGACCGGAGUGGACGCAUCACUGGUGUUCGGGUUGUCAUGCCAAUGGCACUGCCCGGUAGCUAAAUGCGGAAGAGAUAAGUGCUGAAAGCAUCUAAGCACGAAACUUGCCCCG
This 369-nucleotide ribosomal RNA is filed under the name Escherichia coli. Its description in RNAcentral is "partial 23S ribosomal RNA". It matches the Rfam family "Bacterial large subunit ribosomal RNA", at positions 2433 to 2801 of the family's 2925-position model. Lineage: Bacteria; Pseudomonadati; Pseudomonadota; Gammaproteobacteria; Enterobacterales; Enterobacteriaceae. The record is from RNAcentral.